Molecule: ribosomal RNA, 393 nt
Filed under: uncultured bacterium
Lineage: Bacteria
Description: partial 16S ribosomal RNA
Rfam family: Bacterial small subunit ribosomal RNA
Source: RNAcentral
AUACGGAGGAUCCGAGCGUUAUCCGGAUUUAUUGGGUUUAAAGGGUGCGCAGGCGGGAGAUUAAGUCGGCGGAGAACUUUUGCAGCUCAACUGUAAAAGUGCCUUCGAAACUGGUUUUCUUGAGUGUAGAUUAAGUAGGCUGAAUUUGUGGUGUAGCGGUGAAAUGCAUAGAUUGCACGAGGAAAUCCGAUUGCGCAGGCAGCAUACUAAACUACUAGAGACGCUCAGGCACGAAGGCAUGGGGAUCAAACAGGAUUAGAUUCCCUGGUAGUCCUCGCAGUAAACGAUGAUUACUAGCUGUUUGCGAUACAAUGUAAGCGGCUGAGCGAAAGCGUUAAGUAAUCCACCUGGGGAGUACGUUCGCAAGAAUGAAACUUAAAGGAAUUGACGGGG